RNAcentral lists this ribosomal RNA (548 nucleotides) under Bacillus toyonensis. RNAcentral's name for it is "partial 16S ribosomal RNA". It matches the Rfam family "Bacterial small subunit ribosomal RNA", at positions 50 to 578 of the family's 1533-position model. Lineage: Bacteria; Bacillati; Bacillota; Bacilli; Caryophanales; Bacillaceae. The record is from RNAcentral.
CAAYSUUGCAAGUCKAGCGAAUGGAUUGAGAGCUUGCUCUCWAGAAGUUAGCGGCGGACGGGUGAGUAACACGUGGGUAACCUGCCCAUAAGACUGGGAUAACUCCGGGAAACCGGGGCUAAUACCGGAUAACAUUUUGAACUGCAUGGUUCGAAAUUGAAAGGCGGCUUCGGCUGUCACUUAUGGAUGGACCCGCGUCGCAUUAGCUAGUUGGUGAGGUAACGGCUCACCAAGGCAACGAUGCGUAGCCGACCUGAGAGGGUGAUCGGCCACACUGGGACUGAGACACGGCCCAGACUCCUACGGGAGGCAGCAGUAGGGAAUCUUCCGCAAUGGACGAAAGUCUGACGGAGCAACGCCGCGUGAGUGAUGAAGGCUUUCGGGUCGUAAGACUCUGUUGUUAGGGAAGAACAMGUGCUAGUUGAAUAAGCKGGCRCCUUGUCGGUWCCUMACCAGAGAGCCWCGGCUAAMUACRKGYCAGMUSCCGCGGUAAUAUSUGUGUGGCAMGCGUUAUCCGCARUWAUKGUGCGUAAAACGCGCGCAAGUGG